RNAcentral lists this ribosomal RNA (491 nucleotides) under uncultured bacterium. RNAcentral describes it as "partial 16S ribosomal RNA". It matches the Rfam family "Bacterial small subunit ribosomal RNA", at positions 29 to 506 of the family's 1533-position model. The record is from RNAcentral.
AGUGAACGCUGGCGGUAGGCCUAACACAUGCAAGUCGAACGGCAGCACGGUAAGCGCGUGCUCUUACGGGUGGCGAGUGGCGGACGGGUGAGGCAUGCAUCGGAAUCUACUUUUUCGGGGGGGAUAACGGAGGGCAACUUACGCUAAUAGAGCAUACGACCUACGGCUGGAAGCAAGGGAUCUUCGGACCUUUCGCGAUUGAAUGAGACGAGGUCGGAUUGGCUAGUUGGGUGGGUAAAGGCCCACCAAGGCAACGAUCCGUAGCCGACCUGAGAGGAUGAUCGGCCAAACUGGACCGGAGAAACGGCCCAGAUUCCUACGGGAGGCAGCAUGAGGAAAUCUGGCGAAAUGGGCGAAAGCCGGACGAAGCAACGCGGCGGGAGUGAUGAAGGCCUUCGGUUCGUAAAACCCUGUUAUUAGGGAGGAACAAAUGUGUAUGUAACUAUGCUCGUCUUGACGGUACCUAAUCAGAAAGCCACGGCUAACUACGU